Molecule: ribosomal RNA, 254 nt
Filed under: uncultured bacterium
Lineage: Bacteria
Description: partial 16S ribosomal RNA
Rfam family: Bacterial small subunit ribosomal RNA
Source: RNAcentral
UACGGAGGGGGCUAGCGUUGUUCGGAAUUACUGGGCGUAAAGCGCGCGUAGGCGGACCUGCAAGUCGGGGGUGAAAGCCCGAGGCUCAACCUCGGAACUGCCUUCGAUACUGCGGGUCUCGAGUCCGGGAGAGGUGAGUGGAAUUCCUAGUGUAGAGGUGAAAUUCGUAGAUAUUAGGAAGAACACCAGUGGCGAAGGCGGCUCACUGGCCCCGGUACUGACGCUGAGGCGCGAAAGCGUGGGGAGCAAACAGG